Molecule: long non-coding RNA, 154 nt
Organism: Oncorhynchus keta (chum salmon)
Lineage: Eukaryota; Metazoa; Chordata; Actinopteri; Salmoniformes; Salmonidae
Exons: 3
Source: RefSeq, a predicted model, not a curated record
GGGUAGUUCUGCUUUAAGGUCCAGAAAUGGUGGGGUAGUUCUGCUUUAAGGUCCAGACAUGGUGGGGUAGUUCUGCUUUAAGGUCCAGAAAUGGUGGGGUAGUUCUGCUUUAAGGUCCAGAAAUGGUGGGGUAGUUCUGCUUUAAGGUCCAGAC